UGGGGAAUAUUGGACAAUGGGCGAAAGCCUGAUCAAGCCAUGCCGCGUGUGUGAAGAAGGUCUUCGGAUUGUAAAGCACUUUAAGUUGGGAGGAAGGGUGGUAGCCUAAUACGUUGCAACUUUGACGUUACCGACAGAAUAAGCACCGGCUAACUUCGUGCAAGCAGCCGCGGUAAUACGAAGGGUGCAAGCGUUAAUCGGAAUUACUGGGCGUAAAGCGCGCGUAGGUGGUUUGAUAAGUUGGAUGUGAAAGCCCCGGGCUCAACCUGGGAAUUGCAUCCAAAACUGUCUGACUAGAGUACGGUAGAGGGUGGUGGAAUUUCCUGUGUAGCGGUGAAAUGCGUAGAUAUAGGAAGGAACAUCAGUGGCGAAGGCGACCACCUGGACUGAUACUGACACUGAGGUGCGAAAGCGUGGGGAGCAAACAG
Molecule: ribosomal RNA, 428 nt
Filed under: uncultured bacterium
Lineage: Bacteria
Description: bacterial SSU rRNA
Rfam family: Bacterial small subunit ribosomal RNA
Source: RNAcentral